UCCACUUGUCUUGCCCAUCCAUGUUUUGUUUGUCUCCAUGUUCCAUAUUUGUUAGGAAAUCUGUGCAUUGGUUUCGUUCCCUGUAAAUAGUUGAAACCCCAUACUUUGAUUUGAAUGGUCGUUGUUAUUCUCCAUGUAUAACCACUUACUAGUGUCCAUCCAUAUCUUCUGUAAGAUCUUGAUCUUUCCUUUUACAUUUUUCUGUCCCCUUUGAUCCAUACAUUGUUGAGGUGAUCGUCCUUAGUGGGUCAAUAUUCCUUCUUUACUCAAAUUACUCUUCAGUUGUCGUCAUUUCUGUGAUGUCGGCGCUGGUUCUUUCUUAGUAGUCUUCCUUUUCCUUUCCCCCCGGCUCCUGCUAUGCUCCCUAGUCCCUACUCCCUAACAGCCUAUUGUCGCUCUAUCUCUGCUUUUUGCUUGAUGUAUCCAAGUUGAUUUUUGACUUCAUUUCUUCAUGGAUUUUGUCAUUGUUUUCCUUUUGCUCCUUCUUCUCUGUUAUAAUUAUAUUGUUUGGUUUGAUUGGUGUCUUUUUUGCUACCCUUAUUGCUUUUGCUUUUUAAGGUCUGCAUUGUAAUUAAUUUCUUUCUUUUAUUUUAUAAGAUAGGUCUCAAUCGUGCAUUGGGAACAUCUCCUGUAAUUGUGAAUUAUUAUUUAUGGUAAGAUGAUCUCAAUACACAGAAUUGGGAUGUGGUGUGAGCUUAGUGUGAGGAGUAAAUCCCAAUUUUUUUCAUAAGAGCAUGUCUCCUUCGUUGCCUUUUCUUUUUAGAUUUAACACCAUAUUUGAUUGUUGACAAAUAGAGAUGGCAUUCAUUAUUCUCUUUUCUACAUGGAUCUAUGUUCAUCCUCUUGUUAAUAUUUUUUCCUUUGCCAGCAUUUCUCUUAUGGUAAGUUUGGCUGCUAAGAAACGCAUGGGAAGAGAAGCAUCUUUGAAGAAUAUUUUCUUUUUCUUACAUUUGUUUCAAAGGAAGCCUCAGGAAAGGAAGAGAAAAUAAUGAGUUGUGAGUUCUCAAAAAUCAAUGGGUGGGGUCGAUGAGAAAGGAAAAAUGCGAUAAAAUAUUGUUGAGAGGGACCUACCAGACUUCGUCUCCUUCCUUCCAGCCGGCCAACGAUAACAUCUCCGGCACCGUCUCCGGCAUUUUCGUCAUAAGAGUUAGACAUGGAUACUCAGUCCAACGAAACCGAUAGUAGAUCUAAUAAGGUGAACAUGAGCUGGACAAGUGAGAUGGAUAACACACUGAUUGAAACUAUGGUGGAGCAAGUCACCCUUGGACACAAGGUUGACAAGAGCUUUAAGGCUCCGGCAUAUACUACAGCUGCAAGAGCCAUAAGUCUGAAAUAUGAAGUGGAGUGCACACAGAACCACAUUAGGAAUUGAAUGAAGACAAUAAAGAAGAAUUUCUCCACGAUAACGAACAUCACCAAUUCUAGUGGUUUUUCCUGGAAUGACAUGACUAAAACCAUCGAUGCAGAGCCCCGAGUGUGAAAUGAAUACAUCCAGUUGGACAGGGACACCCAAAAGCAAAGCAAUUUAGGAGAAAAUCCAUCAACAACUAUGACCAAAUCGUUAUAGUAUGUGGAAAUAAUCAAGUAACUAGUGUUGGUGCAUUCACUACUAGGGAACUAAGCAGGUGUGAGGCAGCAUCAGUGAAUGAAACCACUAGCAUGCUGACAAUGCAGGAUCCUGUAUUUGAUGAGGUUGAAGGAGACAAUGUUGGUGACUCAACUCAUCAGGCUAGGCCACCUGAGGAGGGUAGCUCAGCUGAGUGGAGAGGUCUUGGGAAGAGAAAGUCGUAUGCAGCUGCAUUUGCUAAAGAAGUACAUGAGAUUGCAUCUAGCAUUAAGUCUUUGGCUUCUGCUGUUGAGAAGGGAAUCGGGUUGCUGAAGAAGGAAAAGCUUUAUGAUGAUGUGCUAAGCUUAUCAAUUAUCUGAUUGAGUCUGAAAAUCAAGCAAUAGCAUUUUAUGCCUUGGCUCCGGAAUUGAGGAAGGCAUGGUUAGAUUUGAAGUUGGGCCCACUUAACUGAAGUUUCUUUGGUAACACCCUUUUUUGGAGACACUAAUGAAUAUGGUUCACUAACACCCCACUUUUUUGUUAUGCUUUAUGGGUUGUUUCUUGGCUACGUAUUUAUGUUUUGUAAAACUUGAACAUUACUUAGAUUGACAUAUGACUCAAACAUGUCUUGACUGGCUUUGUCUUGACCAGUCGAUAGAAACAAUCCUUUUUUGUGGAAGACUUGAACAUUACCCAAGUGGAUGAUUAAAUGAAGAUACUGAUGGUUCAUGAAUGAUGGUUGAAUA
Molecule: RNA transcript, 2292 nt
Organism: Nelumbo nucifera (sacred lotus)
Lineage: Eukaryota; Viridiplantae; Streptophyta; Magnoliopsida; Proteales; Nelumbonaceae
Source: RefSeq, a predicted model, not a curated record